CCUACGGGGGGCUGCAGUGGGGAAUAUUGGACAAUGGGGGCAACCCUGAUCCAGCCAUGCCGCGUGUGUGAAGAAGGCCCUCGGGUUGUAAAGCACUUUCAGUGAGGAAGAACGCCUGGUGGUUAAUACCCAUCAGGGAAGACAUCACUCACAGAAGAAGCACCGGCUAACUCCGUGCCAGCAGCCGCGGUAAUACGGAGGGUGCGAGCGUUAAUCGGAAUUACUGGGCGUAAAGCGCGCGUAGGUGGCUUGAUAAGCCGGUUGUGAAAGCCCCGGGCUCAACCUGGGAACGGCAUCCGGAACUGUCAAGCUAGAGUGCAGGAGAGGAAGGUAGAAUUCCCGGUGUAGCGGUGAAAUGCGUAGAGAUCGGGAGGAAUACCAGUGGCGAAGGCGGCCUUCUGGACUGACACUGACACUGAGGUGCGAAAGCGUGGGUAGCAAACAGGAUUAGAUACCCGAGUAGUC
RNAcentral lists this ribosomal RNA (465 nucleotides) under Vreelandella stevensii. Its description in RNAcentral is "partial 16S ribosomal RNA". It matches the Rfam family "Bacterial small subunit ribosomal RNA", at positions 338 to 795 of the family's 1533-position model. The record is from RNAcentral. Lineage: Bacteria; Pseudomonadati; Pseudomonadota; Gammaproteobacteria; Oceanospirillales; Halomonadaceae.